This 1407-nucleotide long non-coding RNA is filed under the name Castor canadensis (American beaver). RNAcentral's name for it is "lncRNA (ENSCCNG00000016282.1)". The record is from RNAcentral. Lineage: Eukaryota; Metazoa; Chordata; Mammalia; Rodentia; Castoridae.
AAAAAAUAAUAGAACUUCUAUAAGGACUUACAGUAUAGCUGUUCAUAUAGCAUUUAUAUAGUAUUAGGUGUUAAUCCAGAAAUGGUGUAAAGUCUAUGGGAUGUCGUGGGUAGGCUACAUGCAGAUGCUAACCCCCUUACGUGAGGGGCUGGAGCGUUCCUCCCACACCUGCAGAGACCUGAGGAUGAUUGUUGUGAUUACUUCCUGCCAUUGGUUAUGGAGUAGAAGCUGGUUGCCUGAUUGCAGAGCUCUGCUCCCUGAAAUGGAGAUGCAAGAAAGCAGUGUGGUUUUCUUGUGAAUGGGGGCCCAGUGGCCCUGCUUUGUGACUUUCUGUAUACUCACACAGGACAAUGUCUUUCGCAGGGUUGGAGCCUAACCAUUUGCCUCAUCAUUUUUGUUUGUUUCUUUGUUUUGUUCUUGCUUUUGAGACAUGGUCUCACAGUGUAGCCCAGCUGACCUUGAUUGCCCUGCCUCAAGCUCCUGAGUACUGGGAUUACAGGCAUGAACCACCAUACCUGGCCUACUCUCAUUGUUUAAAAUGAGGAGAAAUGUGUAUUAGGAAUCUACCACUUUUUAAGAUUUGAAUGGUUAGAAAAAUAGAGUAUAGCUGGGAAGCAGGUUACCAUAACUUCCCACCUUUUGUAUAUUAAUGAAGCAUUUGAACCCGAGUUUGGGAGUUUUGGGAUUGGAAGCAACAGUUCAUGUCUGUAAAAGUUGCCUCUCUCCUUCCUUAUGGGUUACUUUAAUCUGUGGACUCUGCAGUUGCAUGGCGACCCCAAUGGUGAAGUUCCAUCUUCAUGGAAAAUCCAUAGAAAAACACCUGGCCGAGUUUGCCAGCCAGACGCUGAACUCUUCUACCAGGCACAAGACUAAUUUGGCUGCCCACACCUCCGACAGUGCUGUGUGUGUGGCACGCAGGGUUUCAUCACCUUACAUGGUUGUGAACCGAUGAACCUGUGUCCCCAUAAAAAGACGGACAACCCACUGUGUGAACUAUAGUUUGUGGACACAUUUAUAUUGGUGAGUUACUGCCAGAUAUCUCCAGGUAAAAGUUCAGUUUUCUAAAAUCCCCUUUGGAAUGUGUUUUCAGUCAGUUGAUGACUAUGGAUCGCCGGCAGCCCCUGAUGUUUCACUGGGAUGUCUAAUAGUAGGAUCAUAUUGAUUGUCUUUCAAUUAAUUGCAUCUGGUAUUUUCAUUUAUCAAAAGCAAAAUACAUGUAAUGAACUCUGAAGCAAUACAGUUCAGUGAAAAGUGAUUUUUUUUUUUUUUUUUGCUGCUGCUACUAUAGAGAUAAGUCAAUGGAAAUUAUACUACAAGAAAGCUCAAGCCAGAUGGAAAUAGCGUUAGGGCUUUCCGAUGUAUUAAUUAAAAAGAAUAAAAAUGAAUUAGGGAGAUGGUCUCCUGCCA